Molecule: ribosomal RNA, 465 nt
Filed under: uncultured bacterium
Lineage: Bacteria
Description: partial 16S ribosomal RNA
Rfam family: Bacterial small subunit ribosomal RNA
Source: RNAcentral
GACGAACGCUGGCGGCGUGCUUAACACAUGCAAGUCGAACGGAAAGGCCCCUUUGGGGGUACUCGAGUGGCGAACGGGUGAGUAACACGUGAGUAACCUGCCCUUGACUUCGGGAUAACUUCAGGAAACUGGGGCUAAUACCGGAUAGGAAUCCUUGCUGCAUGGUGGGGGUUGGAAAGCUUCGGCGGUUUUGGAUGGACUCGCGGCUUAUCAGCUUGUUGGUGGGGUAGUGGCUUACCAAGGCUUUGACGGGUAGCUGGCCUGAGAGGGCGACCGGCCACAUUGGGACUGAGAGACGGCCCAGACUCCGACGGGAGGCAGCAGGGGGGAAUAUUGCACAAUGGGCGGCAGCCUGAUGCAGCAACGCCGCGGGCGGGAUGACGGCCUUCGGGUUGUAAACCGCUUUCAGCAGGGGCGAAGCUUGUGGUGACGGUACCUGCAGAAGAAGCACCGGCUAACUACGUG